CGGGACGGGUGAGUAACGCGUGGGUAACCUGCCUCAUACAGGGGGAUAACAGUUAGAAAUGACUGCUAAUACCGCAUAAGCGCACAGGGAUGCAUGUCCUGGUGUGAAAAACUCCGGUGGUAUGAGAUGGACCCGCGUCUGAUUAGCUGGUUGGCGGGGUAACGGCCCACCAAGGCGACGAUCAGUAGCCGACCUGAGAGGGUGACCGGCCACAUUGGGACUGAGACACGGCCCAAACUCCUACGGGAGGCAGCAG
Molecule: ribosomal RNA, 256 nt
Filed under: uncultured bacterium
Lineage: Bacteria
Description: partial 16S ribosomal RNA
Rfam family: Bacterial small subunit ribosomal RNA
Source: RNAcentral